Molecule: ribosomal RNA, 509 nt
Filed under: uncultured bacterium
Lineage: Bacteria
Description: bacterial SSU rRNA
Rfam family: Bacterial small subunit ribosomal RNA
Source: RNAcentral
UCGCGACGUAGUUGAUCAGUGGCUACAGGACGAACGCUGGCGGCGUGCCUAACACAUGCAAGUCGAACGAGAAUCGACGGAUUGAGACUUCGGUUGAUUGAAGUUGAGGAAAGUGGCGAACGGGUGAGUAACGCGUGAGAAACCUGCCUUUCAGUGGGGGACAACAGUUGGAAACGACUGCUAAUACCGCAUAAUGUACUUUGGGGGCAUCCCCGAGGUACCAAAGCUUAAUGUGCUGAAAGAUGGUCUCGCGUCUGAUUAGCUAGAUGGCGGGGUAACGGCCCACCAUGGCGACGAUCAGUAGCCGGUCUGAGAGGAUGAACGGCCACAUUGGGACUGAGAUACGGUCCAGACUCCUACGGGAGGCAGCAGUGGGGAAUAUUGGGCAAUGGGCGAAAGCCUGACCCAGCGACGCCGCGUGAAGGAAGAAGGUCUUCGGAUUGUAAACUUCUUUUAUUAGGGACGAACAGAUGACGGUACCUAAUGAAUAAGCCACGGCUAACUACGUG